This 758-nucleotide ribosomal RNA is filed under the name uncultured bacterium. Its description in RNAcentral is "bacterial SSU rRNA". It matches the Rfam family "Bacterial small subunit ribosomal RNA", at positions 28 to 776 of the family's 1533-position model. The record is from RNAcentral.
GAUGAACGCUAGCUACAGGCUUAACACAUGCAAGUCGAGGGGCAUCAGGAAGAAAGCUUGCUUUCUUUGCUGGCGACCGGCGCACGGGUGAGUAACACGUAUCCAACCUGCCCUUUACUCGGGGAUAGCCGUUCGAAAGAAAGAUUAAUACCCGAUGGCAUAAUGAUUCCGCAUGGUUUCAUUAUUAAAGGAUUCCGGUAAAGGAUGGGGAUGCGUUCCAUUAGGUUGUUGGUGAGGUAACGGCUCACCAAGCCUUCGAUGGAUAGGGGUUCUGAGAGGAAGGUCCCCCACAUUGGAACUGAGACACGGUCCAAACUCCUACGGGAGGCAGCAGUGAGGAAUAUUGGUCAAUGGGCGCUAGCCUGAACCAGCCAAGUAGCGUGAAGGAUGAAGGCUCUAUGGGUCGUAAACUUCUUUUAUAUAAGAAUAAAGUGCAGUAUGUAUACUGUUUUGUAUGUAUUAUAUGAAUAAGGAUCGGCUAACUCCGUGCCAGCAGCCGCGGUAAUACGGAGGAUCCGAGCGUUAUCCGGAUUUAUUGGGUUUAAAGGGAGCGUAGGUGGACUGGUAAGUCAGUUGUGAAAGUUUGCGGCUCAACCGUAAAAUUGUAGUUGAUACUGUCAGUCUUGAGUACAGUAGAGGUGGGCGGAAUUCGUGGUGUAGCGGUGAAAUGCUUAGAUAUCACGAAGAACUCCGAUUGCGAAGGCAGCUCACUGGACUGCAACUGACACUGAUGCUCGAAAGUGUGGGUAUCAAACAGG